This 461-nucleotide ribosomal RNA is filed under the name uncultured bacterium. RNAcentral describes it as "bacterial SSU rRNA". It matches the Rfam family "Bacterial small subunit ribosomal RNA", at positions 30 to 487 of the family's 1533-position model. The record is from RNAcentral.
AUUGAACGCUGGCGGAAUGCUUUACACAUGCAAGUCGAACGGCAGCACGGGGCAACCUGGUGGCGAGUGGCGAACGGGUGAGUAAUACAUCGGAACGUGCCCAGUCGUGGGGGAUAACGUAGCGAAAGUUACGCUAAUACCGCAUACGAUCUAUGGAUGAAAGCGGGGGAUCGCAAGACCUCGCGCGAUUGGAGCGGCCGAUGUCAGAUUAGGUAGUUGGUGGGGUAAAGGCCUACCAAGCCGACGAUCUGUAGCUGGUCUGAGAGGACGACCAGCCACACUGGGACUGAGACACGGCCCAGACUCCUACGGGAGGCAGCAGUGGGGAAUUUUGGACAAUGGGCGCAAGCCUGAUCCAGCCAUUCCGCGUGCAGGAUGAAGGCCUUCGGGUUGUAAACUGCUUUGUACGGUAACGAAAAGGACUCUGGUUAAUACCGGGCGUCAUGACGGUACCGUAAGAA